AUAUAAAUUCAGGAUCAGCUGUAUAGCGUGACCCAAAGCAUAUCCAGAAACAAACUCUCCAUCAUGUCUUACAUGGCAUUGGCUUUCAUUGUCCUGAUUGCCCUGGCAACAGUUAAUGCUGAAGCUGAAGAUGUGGAUGCAGAUAUGGGUUCAAGGAGAUGCUAUGGACGUAAAGGGAGAUGUCGUUUAGCAUGCAUGAAGCCUGAGGUUUAUCACGGACGACAGGAUUGCCCUUUAUUUCAGUGGUGCUGUGUUCGUGUAGUUUAACUGAAAGACCUGCUUACAUUAUACUUCAGUGAUUUUUCUUCCCCAGUAAUAGAACAAAUGAAACAUCAGUCGUGGAGAAGCUACUGACUUCUUUUGUUUUAUAAAGACUACCUUCUCACCAUAUCUUCUUUGCUUUUGCUUUAUUUGUUAAUAACUGCAUCUCUAAUGAUUGGUAAUUGGUAAUGCUGCAAGGUCUCUGAGGUAACAGAAUUUGAUAAUUGUGACAUGAAACUGUUUUUUAUUGUUAACUUUUGUUUAAUUUACCAUUAAAUAUUGAUUUUUGCAUUUA
Long non-coding RNA from Protopterus annectens (West African lungfish), 556 nucleotides. RefSeq lists it as uncharacterized. The transcript has 3 exons. The record is from RefSeq and is a predicted model, not a curated record. NCBI's taxonomy places the organism in Eukaryota, Metazoa, Chordata, Ceratodontiformes, Protopteridae.